This 271-nucleotide ribosomal RNA is filed under the name uncultured prokaryote. RNAcentral describes it as "partial 16S ribosomal RNA". It matches the Rfam family "Bacterial small subunit ribosomal RNA", at positions 524 to 794 of the family's 1533-position model. The record is from RNAcentral.
UACGUAGGUGGCAAGCGUUGUCCGGAUUUAUUGGGCGUAAAGGGAGCGCAGGCGGUGACUUAAGUCUGAUGUGAAAGCCCACGGCUCAACCGUGGAAGGUCAUUGGAAACUGGGUCACUUGAAUAUAGAAGAGGAAAGUGGAAUUCCAUGUGUAGCGGUGAAAUGCGUAGAUAUAUGGAGGAACACCAGUGGCGAAGGCGACUUUCUGGUCUAUUAUUGACGCUGAGGCUCGAAAGCAUGGGUAGCAAACAGGAUUAGAUACCCCCGUAGU